CCUACGGGAGGCAGCAGUGGGGAAUAUUGGACAAUGGGGGGAACCCUGAUCCAGCGACGCCGCGUGAGUGAAGAAGUAUUUCGGUAUGUAAAGCUCUAUCAGCAGGGAAGAAAGAAAUGACGGUACCUGACUAAGAAGCCCCGGCUAACUACGUGCCAGCAGCCGCGGUAAUACGGAGGGGGCAAGCGUUAUCCGGAUUUACUGGGUGUAAAGGGAGCGUAGACGGCGAUGCAAGUCUGAAGUGAAAGGCGGGGGCCCAACCCCUGGACUGCUUUGGAAACUGGAUGGCUGGAGUGCAGGAGAGGUAAGUGGAAUUCCGGGUGUAGCGGUGAAAUGCGUAGAUAUUAGGAGGAACACCAGUGGCGAAGGCGGCUUACUGGACUGUAACUGACGUUGAGGCUCGAAAGCGUGGGGAGCAAACAGGAUUAGAUACCCGUGUAGUC
This 443-nucleotide ribosomal RNA is filed under the name uncultured bacterium. RNAcentral describes it as "partial 16S ribosomal RNA". It matches the Rfam family "Bacterial small subunit ribosomal RNA", at positions 338 to 795 of the family's 1533-position model. The record is from RNAcentral.